This is a long non-coding RNA of Hylaeus volcanicus, 3161 nucleotides long. RefSeq lists it as uncharacterized. Lineage: Eukaryota; Metazoa; Arthropoda; Insecta; Hymenoptera; Colletidae. The transcript has 4 exons. The record is from RefSeq and is a predicted model, not a curated record.
UGAUUAAGAGAAAAUAAAGAAAAGGAAAUUCAAAAAGCUGUGUUCUAUAUACGAGUACGAGAUUACCUUCCCCCGGCAAAAGUAAUUGUUCCAUAAAAGUUUAGGCGUAGAAAUACGCUACAAAGCUAAGUUCACGUGAUAGCGUAACAAUACUUUAUUUUAUUCUACAUAUUGCGGAGUGAUAGACUGCGUUAUACUUGUUAAUUUUUUUACUUAUUAAAAAAAUAACCUUAUAAUAUGAAUCGACCCGCUGGCACUCGUACCGCAUGUGAUCGAAUUAUGAAAAAUACGUGCGACUUAGCCAUAAAUCAAAUCACUUGAAAUAAAAAUAAGAAACUAUAAUAUAAUUUUAUUAUAACUAUUCAAAUAUAAUUUUUAUUAACAAAGACGUAGAGUUUUGCUCCUACAAACGCGGACUAUUGCAGGAAACGUCUGAUCUGGAGAACGGUCUCUAUGUGAAUAAUAAAAGUGUUUCAAUAAAAUGCAAUCACCAAGAAAAACAAAACACGUAAAAGACAUGAAAAUCGUAAUCAGCGCCAACCACGUUCAAACAGAAUUGCCAACCUCACAGAGUCAUACACACAUACACAACAACACAAACGAAUCUCCGCUCUGCCAUCUAGGGAUAAUGUGGAAAUUAAUUUGUCCCUACAUAGAUCGUGGAACGCAACAUUACAUUAAUUUAACAAAAACGAUGCUUAUCUUCAGUAUUUAAAGAGACUAAUGAUAAGGCACUUUUGCAGACGUGGACUUGUGCGCGUUUGUAUUUAGUGUAUAUGUAUAGGAAGUGCUGUAGAGCGUGUAUAUGAAUGAGUGUAUUAUAUAGAGUACUGUCGCGUUGACAGUUUAAUUAAUUAAAUUAACUGAAGACGUUAGUUUUCUUUAGUGUUUAUGCUAGCUACUGAUCAUUUAACGUAUACCAAAGUAAUUUAUUUUCUACUGAAAUGUACGUUUCAUGAUAAUCCGAGAAAUAUUAAUUUAAUAUUGGUUCAACGUGUCGACACAUUCUUACUUUAAGGUUAAAAGGGUGUGGCAGGACAGAUGGUACAACCAAGCAGAGGGUGAUACUACAUGUAAAAAUAAAUCGAAAAAAGGAAUAAUAUUUUUUCAUUCAACGCUUUGUUUUCAUGAAAAUCGAAUUUGAAAAUUCUAUCCAGUACGUGUGCACUAGACUGUGUCCUCAAGUCAUUGCCCGCUACAAGUUUCCUUUUGCUUACAUGUUGUAAUGUUGACCUUUCUAAUGUUUACAUUUCGUCUUCAGCCAUACGACUUUCUUCUACUUUUAGUCUGUUUCGAUCAGUCAAGCUGUGACAAUGUCUACUUAUAGCAACUGCGAGUACGUCAAAAUGAUAAAAGCAUUAGAAGCUUGUCAUGGAAAUGCAACAGCAGCAGUUUAACAUUACAGGCAACAAUUUCUAAAAUGCAGAAAUAAGUGAGAAUUCUCUCAAGCUGAAGGAAAAAAUAAUAAAUGCUUUUAUUCAAAUAAAGUGUCGAUAUUCAUUGGCGUCAGUUCAUGACUCAUUAACAAGGCAAGCAAUGAUAUGUACGCAUCAACAAGGACAGCACUUUGAACAGUUUAUUCAAUAAUGUUACACAAUUAAUGUUAGAAGUAUCAAUAAAAUUAAUAAAAAUUAAUAAAAUUAAUAUUUCUUAUUUAUAAUACAUAUCUAAACUUAGAAGCGGUAUAGUGAACAUAUACUGGAUGGAAUUUUCAAACUCGAUUUUCCUCAAAAAGAAAGCGUCAAACGAAAAAAUGUUAUUCUAUUUUUUUGACUUAUUUUUACAUGUAGUAUUACCCUCUACUCUGUUGUACUAACCGGCCUGCCAAACCCUGUAUAUCUAUUUGUAUUUAUUAAGAAUUAGAAUUUUUCGAUACCACUUAAUGAAAGUGAAUAGCAUCUAUAUAAUUCAAAGGUUUACUCAAAUAGGAGUAUCAAAAGUGUGGCUAAAUCAAAUUUUAUUUGUGAUGGGUUCUUUGAUUGCUUACGGAAAAAAUAUUAUGUGUUAAGUUUCCAGUCUGUGUCACAAUUUCAUGGGUACCAAAAGGUAGAAUUGAAAAUUAUGUUUCUGAUUGAUUUCUUUUACAGUAUUACAUGAAAUUCUUUUAAAAAAUCACAGACAUUUGGGAUAAAGAAGUACACAUUACAUAGUUUUUCACAUUCUUUAUUGAAAAUCCAUGUUGUGAAAAAUAAAAAAGACCAAAAAAAGUGAAUAAUGCUAGUGUUGUAAAGAAACUGUUAAGACACUAUAAUUGUAUCAUUACAAAUAUUCACUAUAUACACAUGUAAAAUACUUGUCACAUUUAUUCUGAUACAUUAUAGUUCGCGUGACAAUUAAUUAUGAGCAUUUUUCCAAAUUUAAUGUUGCUAAUUGGUGGCGUUUGUCUGUCAAAAUUAAUUUAUUUGCGGAGAAUGAGCGCUCUACGCCAUACAAAGUAAUCGGUGCGUAUUUAAAUUUACUCCAACAUUGAUCUGGCACACUUAUUGGUCCUUGACGCACUCGUUAUUUAAAAUACUUGAAAUCGUCGAUAAUGUAGAAAAUGCUAUAUUCUUUUCUAAAGUAAUAUUACAUUUUUUUCUAAUUUUUUCACCGCAAUCACCAGGAAUAUUUUUUAAAUGUAUUAUACUAUUCAUAUAUAUUCCGAAUUAAUUUUGCGAUAAAUACUUCUGUCAUCGUUAUCAUUAUUAUCGUUGUCAUUAAUAACACAAUUGGAAUCCAUUAUGAUCUAACUUAGUAUUAAUGGUUUUCUAUUUUUUCUAACUUUUGGCAGUUUUUAUAACACUACAAGACACUUAAAUGUCUUCACUUUUACAUAGAGAUCACAUUAACUGCGAAGUAUUCGAAUUGAACUAAUUGAGACUAUGCCAUAAAAGUUACAUUCUAAUGUAUCUACAAUAGCUAUUGUUCUCAAUAGCAUCUAUAGCAAAGCAUCAAAGUAUCUGACUACUGAACUGUGCAACAUUUUUAAACUUAAGUGUGGGUCACACUUACACUAAUUUUUUUUUAAUUUCUUAUGUAUUUGUUUUAAUACUUGGCACAUAACAAUAAUCAAUAUAGUUUUAUGAAUAUUUGAAGGAUAUUUAAAAAAUAUUUCAAUCUAGCUAACGUAUACAUCAAAAUAAGUUUAGCGCAUUGUGUUAUGUUAUUACUUUUUGUAUUAG